AGAGUUGAUCAUGGCUCAGGAUUAACGACUGGCGGCAUGCCUAAUACAUAGCAAGUCGAAUGGUUAGCUUGCUAGAUCAUGGCGAACGGGUGAGUAACACGUAGGUAACCUACCUUAAGGACGAGGAUAACCUUUGGAAACGAAGGAUAAUACUGGAUAGGACAUCACAAAUCACAUGAUUAGAUGUUUAAAGGAGCAAUCCACCAUAAGAGGGGCCUGCGGCGCAUUAGCUAGUUGGUGAGGUAAGGGCCCACCAAGGCGAUGAUGCGUAGCUGGACUGAGAGGUUGAACAGCCACAAUGGGACUGAGAACGGCCCAUACUCCUACGGGAGGCAGCAGUAGGGAAUUUUCGGCAAUGGGCGGAAGCCUGAACCCGAGCAAUGCCGCGUGAUCGAAGAAGUAUUUCGGUAUGUAAAGAUCUUUUAUUUGGGAAGAAAAAACAAAUUGACUGAACCAAAUGAAUAAGCUCCGGCUAACUACGUGCCAGCCGCCGC
Molecule: ribosomal RNA, 494 nt
Filed under: uncultured bacterium
Lineage: Bacteria
Description: bacterial SSU rRNA
Rfam family: Bacterial small subunit ribosomal RNA
Source: RNAcentral